ACCGUACUCCUACGGGAGGCAGCAGUGGGGAAUAUUGCACAAUGGGCGCAAGCCUGAUGCAGCUACGCCGCGUGAGGGAUGACGGCCUUCGGGUUGUAAACCUCUUUCAGUAGGGAAGAAGCGAAAGUGACGGUACCUGCAGAAGAAGCACCGGCUAAUUACGUGCCAGCAGCCGCGGUAAUACGUAGGGUGCGAGCGUUAUCCGGAAUUAUUGGGCGUAAAGAGCUCUUAGGCGGUUUGUCGCGUCUGUCGUGAAAGUCCGGGGCUUAACCCCGGAUCUGCGGUGGGUACGGGCAGACUAGAGUGCAGUAGGGGAGACUGGAAUUCCUGGUGUAGCGGUGGAAUGCGCAGAUAUCAGGAGGAACACCGAUGGCGAAGGCAGGUCUCUGGGCCAUUACUGACGCCGAGGAGCGAAAGCAUGGGGAGCGAACAGGAUUAGAAACCCGAGUAGUCCUUGAC
This 459-nucleotide ribosomal RNA is filed under the name uncultured bacterium. Its description in RNAcentral is "bacterial SSU rRNA". It matches the Rfam family "Bacterial small subunit ribosomal RNA", at positions 330 to 801 of the family's 1533-position model. The record is from RNAcentral.